This 73-nucleotide transfer RNA is filed under the name Candidatus Bathyarchaeota archaeon RBG_13_46_16b. Its description in RNAcentral is "tRNA-Cys". It matches the Rfam family "tRNA". From Rfam's summary of the family: Transfer RNA (tRNA) molecules are approximately 80 nucleotides in length. RNAcentral also lists the same sequence under 2 other names. Lineage: Archaea; Thermoproteati; Candidatus Bathyarchaeota. The record is from RNAcentral.
GCCGGGGUGGCUGAACGGUUGAAGCGGCGGCCUGCAGAGCCGCUCUAUAUGGGUUCAACUCCCAUCCCCGGCU